This is a long non-coding RNA of Asparagus officinalis (garden asparagus), 2001 nucleotides long. RefSeq lists it as uncharacterized. The record is from RefSeq and is a predicted model, not a curated record. The transcript has 2 exons. Lineage: Eukaryota; Viridiplantae; Streptophyta; Magnoliopsida; Asparagales; Asparagaceae.
CCGCAUAAAGUGAUCAAUCAUUUAAUUGGGUUAAUGGGUAUUUAGUUUAUUAUGGGCUAAUUGUGUAGAUACCAGAUUGCAAUUCUAAUUUUAUGAGGGGCUAAAUUAAAAAAAUUAUAAUAUCUAUAUAAAGGGGUUAUGUUCCCUAAUUUAAGGGUUACAUUCUUUGUUUUCUUAAUCCCCAUCUAGAGAGAAACAACAUGAGAGACCCUUUAGAUUAGAAGAUCUCAAACCCUAAUUCAGAAUUUCUUCAUGGAUUUCAGGUAUGCUUUCAUUUAUUCUUCUUGUUAAUCUCCUCUUUGAAUUAAUCAUGAUCCUUAAUUAUAUUUUUAGGGUUUGUUCUUGAUUUUCGUUGUAAACCCUAGAUCUAUAUUGUAUGAAUUAAAGAGUUUAUAGAACAACAAGUGGUAUCAGAGCAACCGUGAUUAAUUCUUAGGGAUUUAUGUUUGAGUUGAAGAAAUUAGGGUUUUCAUCUUAAUUUUUUCUUAAGAUCAGUUGCACGUAUCAACAUUGUAGCGUGCAUGUUUAAUCAAUCUUACUUUGUUCAAUCUAGAUCAAACUCUUGAUUCAAAUGUUAUAUCUAUUAAUUCAUUUCAAUUUUGGUAUAUGAGGUCGUAGUUAUGCAAUUGGGUGUGCUUGCUUGUUUUUGUUUCGAAUUUAAAGAUUGUGCUGGGUUUGUGCAUUUGUUUUUGUUUCUUUUGUUCGAGAGGAUUUUUUAGGCUCUUUGGCUAUUUUGAAUUAGCAGUGUGAAUUAAAGUGUCUGUGUUAUUAAUUAAAGCUGAGGUUGAUGCAAAAUUUGGUUUCAUCAUGUGCUUUGCUAAUGGGAUCAUGUUAUGCUUGUCUCCGCCAUCUUAAGAGUGGUUUAUGCAUGAAUGUAGAUGGAACUAAGGAGGAUACAUAGUUUGAAGAUGAAAUGUAGUUUGUUAAAGAGGCUUGUCAGGUUCUUUUGAAUUGCAUGGAACCUGGUUUGUUCCGGUUCACAGGACGUGUACGGGAACAUGGUACACCACUCAACAGGAAUCAGGUACGAGGGGGUAGGCUUACAUUGUACACCAGGAAACAUGGUAUGCUUUAGGUUUGGUUCUUAAAUGCUAGUUGAUAUCAGAAAUGGUAAUAGAACCUUGAGAAUCAAGUUGCAAUUAAGAUGUGCAUAAUUUAUAUGCUUAAUUUCCUACGUUUUUGUUGUUUAUUCUUUUAAAAAGAGCUUUUUCCCCGACAUUUUAAUUGGUUUUUGAAUUCUAAAUCUGGUCACUGGAGUUGUUGAAUCGGGUCGUGUUCCACGCGAAUCUAGGAUGAUUGAAGCCGGGUCGUAGUUCGCUAUAGUGUACCAUGUUCCCGACUUCUUAUUGAAUCCAUUAUUUGAAGGUCUCAUGCAUGCUACUGGGUUUUUCUUAGUUUUCUAAAUAGGCAGGUAAUACGGUGGAUCAGAUCUCUCUGUCAGUUGUAUGUGUGUCACUGCUUAAUCCUUCAUCUCCGUUUCCUGGAGGAUGUGAUGAGGGAUUUUCCUGUGGGAACGCUUCAUGGGAAUUUGGCAAUGGCUUACGGAGGAGAAGAAUGCUGCAAUCCGACCAAACAAUGAACCCCGAUGACAACUUUUGAGUACAACUCUUGCGUGAAUCAUUUUCCUAUUGUUGUUCAACAGUAGCUGAUCAGAGAUUCAGAAGUAUUCUUAAAUAUGUCAUGAUUUAGUUCUUUUGAAUAUCCAUGCCCUUAAGCCACUAGCUUCGUCUCUGUGCGUGCUUUUUCUCAGCGAAAAACGGCUUUUGCUGUUUAGCACCUGUUGGUUAAACUUUUAGCCUCAAUUCCAUUUUAACAUCGACACUGAGAAAAAUCACCAUGAGGUCGAACCUUUCUCCCAACUUUAUCAACUUAUGCAUUAGCUUUACUGUUUAUUUUAUAUUAUUACGUAGUAGGGGAAUUUUUGUAAUUGUUAUAUUUUUGUGUAAAACCUUGAUUUCAUCAUUAUUUUAUUGGGGAAAACAAAUUAAUGUUUAUAGCUUU